CCCUUAGAUGUUCGGGGCCGCACGCGCGCUACACUGAAGGAAUCAGCACGUCUUUCUCCUUGUCCGAAAGGACUGGGUAACCCGCUGAACCUCCUUCGUGCUAGGGAUUGGGGCUUGUAAUUCUUCCCCAUGAACGAGGAAUUCCCAGUAAGCGCGAGUCAUAAGCUCGCGUUGAUUACGUCCCUGCCCUUUGUACACACCGCCCGUCGCUACUACCGAUUGGAUGGUUUAGUGAGAUCCUCGGAUUGGCCCCGGAGCGGCCUCUGGUCGUGCCGGAGUGCCGAAAAGAAUGUCGAACUUGAUCAUCUAGAGGAAGUAAAAGUCGUAACA
Molecule: ribosomal RNA, 330 nt
Filed under: uncultured eukaryote
Lineage: Eukaryota
Description: partial 18S ribosomal RNA
Rfam family: Eukaryotic small subunit ribosomal RNA
Source: RNAcentral